GAAGAAACCUCUGAACGACCUGAGUACAAGUGUCUGAUUCAAUGACUAUCUAUCUAUCUAUCUAUCUAUCUAUCUAUCUAUCUAUCUAUCUAUCUAUCUAUCUAUCUAUGUUUAAAUAUUUGUUAAAUAUUAUUAGAUAUUAAAUAUUACUAAAUGUUAGUUUAAUAUUAGUUAUAUGAAUUCCUUCGAAUUUUAUUUAAUUGUACUUCCUUAUAUUCAGCUUCAAUUUACAGUUACAAUUCUGCUUUCUGUUUGCUUCCUCAAUUCAUUUUAAUUCAAUUCAUGAAAUAAAUUCAAACUGAGAAAGGGCAAUCACUGAACAAAUUCAGAAUUGUGUGCUUUAGUGUUACUGAGGACAGUUAUUAGGACAGUUGUACACUCACAAAUCUAAGCAUAAUGUUUUCUCUCAACAAACCUUUUGUACUCUGUGAGCUUGUUAUAAACGUAAUGCUUGUCCUAAAGUACUUUCUUUCUCUGAAUAUGAACAGUUUCAUCAUAUUCUUCAUAUGCUUUCAAUGCAGCAUCUCAAAAUGUGUCAAUCAAUCAUCAGAAAUAUGUGUAACUCUGUAAGGAAAUGUACACUAUUUAUUCAUAGAGUCGAGGGCCAGCUCGCUGCGGAAGUUAUCAGAGCGAUUGUCCUCCUGUCCAAGUCUCCAGCAGUGCCUUCAGGCAUCAGACCGUGUCGUCCCCGUGUCCUCACAAAUACCCUUCUACAGCACCAGAUGUUUCUACACACGUCGCUGAUAGAUAUACAGACCGGGACCAGAGGAGGAGGAUCAGUGCAUGGAGUAGCACAGGAGGAGGAGACCAACCCAGAUCUGUGGGAUGCUGUGAUAAAAAGCCAUGAAAAAUGA
Long non-coding RNA from Cyprinus carpio carpio, 854 nucleotides. The record is from Ensembl. Lineage: Eukaryota; Metazoa; Chordata; Actinopteri; Cypriniformes; Cyprinidae.